RNAcentral lists this microRNA precursor (61 nucleotides) under Pristionchus pacificus. RNAcentral's name for it is "mir-8364 microRNA precursor family". It matches the Rfam family "mir-8364 microRNA precursor family". The record is from Rfam by way of RNAcentral. Lineage: Eukaryota; Metazoa; Nematoda; Chromadorea; Rhabditida; Neodiplogasteridae.
UCUUCAUUUUGCAUACUCUCUCGCCACUCUGACCGGUGAGAGAGCAAGCAAAAUGAAGAGA